AUUGAAACACUGGUUCUCGUAUGAUAACCAAAGUUAAGCAAUGUUGAGCCUGAUUGGUACCAUGGGUGACCUCUUGGAAAUACCAGCUGUUGUAAG
Acanthosepion pharaonis is the source of this 96-nucleotide non-coding RNA. Lineage: Eukaryota; Metazoa; Mollusca; Cephalopoda; Sepiida; Sepiidae. The record is from the annotation of a GenBank genome assembly.